UGGGGAAUAUUGGACAAUGGGGGGAACCCUGAUCCAGCCAUGCCGCGUGUGUGAAGAAGGCCUUAUGGUUGUAAAGCACUUUAAGCGAGGAGGAGGGUACUGGUAUUAAUACUACCAGCUACUGGACGUUACUCGCAGAAUAAGCACCGGCUAACUCUGUGCCAGCAGCCGCGGUAAUACAGAGGGUGCGAGCGUUAAUCGGAUUUACUGGGCGUAAAGCGUGCGUAGGCAGCUAAUUGAGUCGGAUGUGAAAUCCCCGAGCUUAACUUGGGAAUUGCAUUCGAUACUGGUUAGCUAGAGUGUGGGAGAGGAUGGUAGAAUUCCAGGUGUAGCGGUGAAAUGCGUAGAGAUCUGGAGGAAUACCGAUGGCGAAGGCAGCCAUCUGGCCUAACACUGACGCUGAGGUACGAAAGCAUGGGGAGCAAACAGG
RNAcentral lists this ribosomal RNA (430 nucleotides) under Pseudomonadota bacterium. RNAcentral's name for it is "Proteobacteria bacterium partial 16S ribosomal RNA". It matches the Rfam family "Bacterial small subunit ribosomal RNA", at positions 355 to 776 of the family's 1533-position model. Lineage: Bacteria; Pseudomonadati; Pseudomonadota. The record is from RNAcentral.